AUACAAUGUAAAACAAGAGGAGACAUAACUAAGCACUAAAUAUGAAAAUCAUGGGGAUUUAGUCACAUUAUGUGAUCAUACAUUGCAUAAGCCUGCCAACAACACCAAUGUACCCCAUAUCUGGCAGGUCCUACACUGCCUAAUGUAUGCUAAAAGAACCAAAGAAGACAUAUAUAGCACUUACCUGCAAGAAAGGGCAGAAGCCUUGAGCAGCUGCCUGCAGGAACACUGAAACAAAAGGAAUGAUGGAAAACAAACAGGUGUGGCAACAUAAAAGAAACAUUUAAAGGAAACCUGGAGACUGGGAAUCCCAGGGAUGGACUACAGAAAUUAACCCAGAAAUCCCAGCAUAAAGAAAACCAGACAUGGAAUAGAAAACCAGAAAACCCAAGAAAAACUAAACAAGAAUUGUAAAAAGAGUACUGGAUACCAGAAGCCAAGGCCAGACAUCUCCACAGAACAGAGCAGGAUGUGACAAACUGUUACAAUCCCUCUACUCCAACUGUGCCAUCUAACAUAUAAAAUUGUACUUGAAAAGUUAGUUUGAUAAUUAAUAGCUUGAUUGAAAAAAAUAAUCCUGAUUCCAAU
Non-coding RNA from Pelobates cultripes (western spadefoot toad), 588 nucleotides. The record is from the annotation of a GenBank genome assembly. NCBI's taxonomy places the organism in Eukaryota, Metazoa, Chordata, Amphibia, Anura, Pelobatidae.